This 793-nucleotide long non-coding RNA is filed under the name Olea europaea subsp. europaea. Lineage: Eukaryota; Viridiplantae; Streptophyta; Magnoliopsida; Lamiales; Oleaceae. The record is from RNAcentral.
CCACAAUUGGUUCCCAUUAAAUAAUAAAGGCUCUAGAUGGCUAUUUUGGGCCUUAAUAUGUCUUCAAAGAAUCUUGGAAUUAUUCCCAAAAGAAAAAAAAUGCUUUCUUUAUGGAAUAUAUUCUUUUCUUGAGCUUCUAUUGUACACAACAUUUUUCCAAGCCAAUUCUCUGCCUCAUUUCUGCUGAUAAACUACUCAUUUUACAAUGCAAUAAUCCGAAUCUCUCUAGGCACUAGAUUUAGACACCUUCUUGGUUAGAUAUGGCUACUUUAUGUUAAUACUGUCCUUAUUUUCUUAAUUAUAUGUUUUAAUGCUUAUUUCGUUCAAGAACCUGAAAUCAUUUUGUAAAUCUCUGUAGAGAUAAAAUAUUGAAGAUAUGAAGUGCCUAUUAUUCUAGUUGUGUGGCUUUUAAACUUCUGAUUUCACACUUUCAUCUUUUACUUUUCUAAACUAUUAAGCUCUCCAUCCGUAAAUGAAUAUGAUAUUUUGAAUCGGCACUGGAUUUUAUGUGGAAGUUGAAAAGGUAGAGGUUGUCUACCUUCUCCUGUUAACCCUUUGAACUAAUUGCAAAGAGAUUAUGUCAGUCACGUUAACAUUAUAUACAAAAUUCCAAAAAUGAAAUAGGAACUUUCAGUCAUGUAUAGGAAAUAUUUAAGAAAAUACAAUCCAUUCCUCUCUUACUUAAAUUGAAAUCCUGUGAGUUCUGUACUCCAUUCUGCUUUUAUUGUCAUUGUUUGACAUCCUCACAUCAUAUUCUUGUAACAACAUUUUAUAUGUAAUAAUCAGUUUCCUG